RNAcentral lists this ribosomal RNA (548 nucleotides) under Eutypella cerviculata. RNAcentral describes it as "eukaryotic LSU rRNA". The stretch from base 248 to 401 matches the Rfam family "5.8S ribosomal RNA". Lineage: Eukaryota; Fungi; Ascomycota; Sordariomycetes; Xylariales; Diatrypaceae. The record is from RNAcentral.
GAGGAAGUAAAAGUCGUAACAAGGUCUCCGUUGGUGAACCAGCGGAGGGAUCAUUACAGAGUUAUUUUAACUCCAAACCUAUGUGAACUUAUUUUUGUUGCCUCGGCGAGGGAACUUACCUGGUACUUACCCUGUAAGAACUCAGGAGGCGAGCUACCCUGUAGCAUGCCGCUGGCAAACUCGCCGAAGGACUAUUCGAAUUCUUGUUUUAGUGGCACAUCUGAACUGUUUAUACUUAAUAAGUUAAAACUUUCAACAACGGAUCUCUUGGUUCUGGCAUCGAUGAAGAACGCAGCGAAAUGCGAUAAGUAAUGUGAAUUGCAGAAUUCAGUGAAUCAUCGAAUCUUUGAACGCACAUUGCGCCCAUUAGUAUUCUAGUGGGCAUGCCUGUUCGAGCGUCAUUUCGACCAUCAAGCUUUAUCUGCUUGGAGUUGGGAAUUUACUCAUAAGUAAUUCCUUAAAUCUAUCGGCGGAGUUGCGAUAAUCCCAAGCGUAGUAAUUAUUUCUCGCUUUAGGUGUGUUAGCGCUGACAUUUAGCCGUUAAACCC